This 520-nucleotide ribosomal RNA is filed under the name uncultured Glomus. RNAcentral describes it as "SSU rRNA". It matches the Rfam family "Eukaryotic small subunit ribosomal RNA", at positions 569 to 1088 of the family's 1831-position model. The record is from RNAcentral. Lineage: Eukaryota; Fungi; Glomeromycota; Glomeromycetes; Glomerales; Glomeraceae.
AGCAGCCGCGGUAAUUCCAGCUCCAAUAGCGUAUAUUAAAGUUGUUGCAGUUAAAAAGCUCGUAGUUGAAUUUCGGGAUCAAUAUAUCGGUCGUGCCUUCGGUACGUACUGGUAUCAUUGGUUUCUCCUUUCUGACGAACCAUGAUGUCAUUAAUUUGGUGUUAUGGGGAGUUAGGACUGUUACUUUGAAAAAAAUUAGAGUGUUUAAAGCAGGCAUUAGCUUGAAUACAUUAGCAUGGAAUAAUGAAAUAGGACGUUUGAUCCUAUUUUGUUGGUUUCUAGGAUUGACGUAAUGAUUAAUAGGGAUAGUUGGGGGCAUUAGUAUUCAAUUGUCAGAGGUGAAAUUCUUGGAUUUAUUGAAGACUAACUACUGCGAAAGCAUUUGCCAAGGAUGUUUUCAUUAAUCAAGAACGAAAGUUAGGGGAUCGAAGACGAUCAGAUACCGUCGUAGUCUUAACCAUAAACUAUGCCGACUAGGGAUCGGAUGAUGUUUAAUUUUUAAUGUACUCAUUCGGCGUCC